GAUGAACGCUGGCGGUAUGCCUUACACAUGCAAGUCGUACGAGAGUUUUUAACUCAAGUGGCGGACGGGUGAGUAACACGUAAGAAUUUGCCUUUAGGAGGGGGAUAACAACUGGAAACGGUUGCUAAUACCCCAUAUGCUUUCGAGUGAAAUGGAUUUCCGCCUAAAGAGAAGCUUGCGGCUGAUUAGCUUGUUGGUGAGGUAAUGGCUCACCAAGGCGACGAUCAGUAUCUGGUUUGAGAGGACGAUCAGACACACUGGAACUGAGACACGGUCCAGACUCCUACGGGAGGCAGCAGUGGGGAAUUUUCCGCAAUGGGCGAAAGCCUGACGGGGCAAUACCGCGUGAGGGAUGACGGCCUAUGGGUUGUAAACCUCUUUUUUCAGGGAGGAAUCAAAUGACGUGUACCUGAAGAAUAAGCAUCGGCUAACUCCGUGCCAGCAGCCGCGGUAAGACGGAGGAUGCAAGUGUUAUCCGGAAUCACUGGGCGUAAAGCGUCUGUAGGUGGUCAAAUAAGUCAACUGUUAAAUCUUGAGGCUCAACCUCGAAAUCGCAGUCGAAACUAUUAGACUAGAGUAUAGUAGAGGUAAGGAGAAUUUCCAGUGGAGCGGUGAAAUGCGUAGAGAUUGGAAAGAAUACCGAUGGCGAAGGCACCUUACUGGGCUAUUACUAACACUCAGAGACGAAAGCUAGGGUAGCAAAUGGGAUUAGAUACCCCAGUAGUCCUAGCUGUAAACAAUGGAUACUAGAUGUUGAACAGAUCGACCUGUGCAGUAUUAAAGCUAACGCGUUAAGUAUC
Molecule: ribosomal RNA, 800 nt
Filed under: uncultured cyanobacterium
Lineage: Bacteria; Bacillati; Cyanobacteriota
Description: bacterial SSU rRNA
Rfam family: Bacterial small subunit ribosomal RNA
Source: RNAcentral